GAUGAACGCUGGCGGCGUGCUUAACACAUGCAAGUCGAACGAAGCACUUUAUUUGAUUUCCUUCGGGACUGAUUAUUUUGUGACUGAGUGGCGGACGGGUGAGUAACGCGUGGGUAACCUGCCUUGUACAGGGGGAUAACAGUUGGAAACGGCUGCUAAUACCGCAUAAGCGCACGGCAUCGCAUGAUGCAGUGUGAAAAACUCCGGUGGUAUAAGAUGGACCCGCGUUGGAUUAGCUAGUUGGUGAGGUAACGGCCCACCAAGGCGACGAUCCAUAGCCGAGCUGAGAGGGUGACCGGCCACAUUGGGACUGAGACACGGCCCAGACUCCUACGGGAGGCAGCAGUGGGGAAUAUUGCACAAUGGGCGAAAGCCUGAUGCAGCGACGCCGCGUGAGCGAAGAAGUAGUUCGGUAUGUAAAGCUCUAUCAGCAGGGAAGAUAAUGACGGUACCUGACGAAGAAGCACCGGCUAAAUACGUG
RNAcentral lists this ribosomal RNA (481 nucleotides) under uncultured bacterium. RNAcentral describes it as "partial 16S ribosomal RNA". It matches the Rfam family "Bacterial small subunit ribosomal RNA", at positions 28 to 507 of the family's 1533-position model. The record is from RNAcentral.